Molecule: ribosomal RNA, 429 nt
Filed under: Shewanella putrefaciens
Lineage: Bacteria; Pseudomonadati; Pseudomonadota; Gammaproteobacteria; Alteromonadales; Shewanellaceae
Description: bacterial SSU rRNA
Rfam family: Bacterial small subunit ribosomal RNA
Source: RNAcentral
AGUAAUGCCUAGGGAUCUGCCCAGUCGAGGGGGAUAACAGUUGGAAACGACUGCUAAUACCGCAUACGCCCUACGGGGGAAAGGAGGGGACCUUCGGGCCUUCCGCGAUUGGAUGAACCUAGGUGGGAUUAGCUAGUUGGUGAGGUAAUGGCUCACCAAGGCGACGAUCCCUAGCUGUUCUGAGAGGAUGAUCAGCCACACUGGGACUGAGACACGGCCCAGACUCCUACGGGAGGCAGCAGUGGGGAAUAUUGCACAAUGGGGGAAACCCUGAUGCAGCCAUGCCGCGUGUGUGAAGAAGGCCUUCGGGUUGUAAAGCACUUUCAGUAGGGAGGAAAGGUUGCAGUUUAAUAAACUGUAGCUGUGACGUUACCUACAGAAGAAGGACCGGCUAACUCCGUGCCAGCAGCCGCGGUAAUACGGGAGGGU